UGGGGAAUAUUGGACAAUGGGGGAAACCCUGAUCCAGCGAUGCCGCGUGAGUGAUGAAGGCCUUAGGGUCGUAAAGCUCUUUUACCCGGGAUGAUAAUGACAGUACCGGGAGAAUAAGCUCCGGCUAACUCCGUGCCAGCAGCCGCGGUAAUACGGAGGGAGCUAGCGUUGUUCGGAAUUACUGGGCGUAAAGCGUACGUAGGCGGUUAUUCAAGUCAGAGGUGAAAGCCCGGGGCUCAACCCCGGAACUGCCUUUGAAACUAGAUAGCUAGAAUCUUGGAGAGGUCAGUGGAAUUCCGAGUGUAGAGGUGAAAUUCGUAGAUAUUCGGAAGAACACCAGUGGCGAAGGCGACUGACUGGACAAGUAUUGACGCUGAGGUACGAAAGCGUGAGGAGCAAACAGGAUUAGAUACCCUGGUAGUCCCUGAGCGGGCUGGCAAGGCGCAU
This 447-nucleotide ribosomal RNA is filed under the name uncultured bacterium. Its description in RNAcentral is "bacterial SSU rRNA". It matches the Rfam family "Bacterial small subunit ribosomal RNA", at positions 355 to 825 of the family's 1533-position model. The record is from RNAcentral.